Molecule: long non-coding RNA, 676 nt
Organism: Capsicum annuum
Lineage: Eukaryota; Viridiplantae; Streptophyta; Magnoliopsida; Solanales; Solanaceae
Exons: 2
Source: RefSeq, a predicted model, not a curated record
UCUAUAUACAUAAAACUAUAUAUGCUACCAAUAUUAUAUCUUCCUAAUUAAAUGUAACAACAAUUAAUUAAUAUGGCAGCCAAGACUAAUCUACUAUUUUUUGUUAUAAUUGUGUUAAUUAUACAUCCAUGCUUCACAUCCAAAAUACACUAUGAAGAUGAAGUCUGUUAUGAAGUCGCAGAUUGCUUCGCAUAUUGCGAAGAUUAUGUAGACGGGAUUGCCCCUAACCCGGCCAGCGAUUGUUGUGGCGCGUUAUUAUCUUUGAAUGGUAGGGUAAAAUAUGUGAAGCAUGGGGUUCGUAGGUAUUGUCAGUGUAUCGAAAACUUCAGUAAUAGCCAUUAUCAUCCUCCUUAUCUCCAGUCUCGUAUUAAAGAUCUGUAUAGGAUAUGUAAUUUUCAUCUUAGCUUCCCAAUCUCUGAACGUAUGGACUGCUCUAAGCUAAAGUAAGAGGACUUGUGUUUGAGGAUCUCUGACUCGAUUCUACGUAUAAAUAAAGAUAUAUAUUGGGAAGUAUAAUUAGUACUAUAUUGGAAGUAUAUUAAUGAAUAUUAUGGUACUUUAUUUUUAAAUUAAUGAAAGAUUCAAAUUUUAGAUAUAGUAGAUUUUGAAUUGAGUUAAUUGAUUCCAAAAUGUAUAUAUAAUUUGAUAUAAGAGUAAUCUUUGACUUCUAUUUUCA